RNAcentral lists this long non-coding RNA (1108 nucleotides) under Hordeum vulgare. RNAcentral's name for it is "long non-coding RNA (HVUL_LNC003951)". The record is from RNAcentral. Lineage: Eukaryota; Viridiplantae; Streptophyta; Magnoliopsida; Poales; Poaceae.
UUAAGGACUCGGCCACUCGUCGUCCUCCCUAAUCUUCUCCCCCUCCCUCCUGUCUCUCUCAGAUCUCUUCCCCCCAUCGUGUCCAACCUACCUCCUCCCCGUCCUGAUCCUUCCUCCGCUCGCCCAUCGGCGCCAGGUGAGCCAGAAAUCCGCGAUCCCUCCCUAGGUUAUCUUGCUCCGUCCGCCCGAAUCGCCUGCCCUCGCCGGCUGAUCCGCGCGGGCCCUCUGGUCUCCGUAGCUGCGGUGGUUCCGUCGCUUCGAUCGGAUCCUGUGUUGCGGGUGUGAUUCCGAUCUGAUCUGCGUGGUUUUGCAGGUGUGGGCGCUCUCAGGGGGGGUGGAGCUUGACCUGCCGCGAUGGAUCGCGCCGAGCUCACCACGGAGCAGGUCAGUUCACGCAUUCGGAUACGACUGCCGUCCUGAUUUAGUUUUUGCCGGCCACGAGUGUGCAAUGAAACUUUUGCUGCUAGCGUCGGGGUAAUUGGGAUUUCAAGAUGUGCUGCCGGCGCACAUUACCUGGGCGCGACGUCCCAUGGAAAUAGGACAGUGCGAACGGCUGCCGAAUUCGAGCGAAAAUUGAUGCUUUUGUAAUGUUGUUUGGAAGUGAGCACAUGUUUCAUGGACCUUCUUGACUUUUGGAAUUGAGGGGAGAAAGCGGUUUGAGAAUUUUAAUAGAAGUAGGUCAUGCUGUCUGCUACUCCGAAGUAGCUAAAGGUAGAUUCUGUCGUAUUGGUAUUUCGAAGUAGUUUAGAUUUUCCAUAUCCAUGCAAUCUUUUGUGUUGCAACUUUGGUUGGCGUUUUCUUUGGUCAUGUCAUUGUGCUACUCUAGGAUGCAGUGAAUUGACCUGGUACUGUUCAGACUGCAGCUGUCACGGUUGGUUUCUUGUUAGUGAAUAGAUGCCCUGUUUCUGUGUGAUAAUUUAAGGUAGGGUCUAAUCAUUUAUUAUUCAGUCAAAAGGAUGGACAACUGAUUGUAUGACGGACAAUUUCUGAGCAGGCCCGUAAUACUUGCCGUCUGCUCUUUUAACUAGGAUUGUUUUACCACGAAUUAUCUGCAAGCGAUGCUGAUCUUUGAGUUGCAUCACAUCUGUUAAGAGUAUGUGAGGAUGGU